GAUACAGUUAUUACUAAGAAGCCUUAUCGCUGACAUUUCGAAUACCUUAUCAAUACAGAACUGACUUAUAUUUAGGUCAUUUUAUUCAAUGGAGUUUCUGACAAUAAUUAUAGACGAUCCACCAUGUGAGAGGGGAGGUGACCUGCAGUACGAUGGUGCCAGUGUGAAACCUCUUGGAAUGUACAGUGGUACCUCUUCUUGGUCUAGCCAGUGUUCAUUUAUACACAGAAUAUCAGUGGACUUCUCAAUUACCGAGUUGAUAUUGACAGAUUAGCAACACAUUCUCUACAGAAUCUCAAAGUUAAGUGAGAUAGUGCAUUUUGGCGCGUCCGCUACAGACAGAAGUUUGCCACAUCCUUGAGACUCAACUGCAUUUUGUCACGUACAGCAAAGUGCAUUCAGAGAUAACAAAAUAUCAAAUCUCUCACACCUUACCAAAACUCAUCCUCUGUUAGAUUCUGCUUAGUUCGAGUGUGCAGUGCAGAUUACACCAUAAUCACUCCAGUCUUCGAGGAGGAAAGACGUGUGAAGGACAAGUAGUACGCCUGAGAGUUGGAGUCUAAUCGGAGAGACACCUAUAGCUGACAGCAUCACACUGUUGGAUCACAUGUAAGUAUGAUGGAAUUUUCACGUGAUCAUGAUUUUUCAGGACUUACUUUUUUCCUGAUAGAUCAAUACUACAAUGCACU
Nilaparvata lugens (brown planthopper) is the source of this 689-nucleotide long non-coding RNA. RefSeq lists it as uncharacterized. The transcript has 4 exons. NCBI's taxonomy places the organism in Eukaryota, Metazoa, Arthropoda, Insecta, Hemiptera, Delphacidae. The record is from RefSeq and is a predicted model, not a curated record.